UAGGGAAUCUUCCACAAUGGACGCAAGUCUGAUGGAGCAACGCCGCGUGAGUGAAGAAGGUUUUCGGAUCGUAAAGCUCUGUUGUUGGUGAAGAAGGAUAGAGGUAGUAACUGGCCUUUAUUUGACGGUAAUCAACCAGAAAGUCACGGCUAACUACGUGCCAGCAGUGCGGUAAUACGUAGGUGGCAAGCGUUGUCCGGAUUUAUUGGGCGUAAAGCGAGCGCAGGCGGAAGAAUAAGUCUGAUGUGAAAGCCCUCGGCUUAACCGAGGAACUGCAUCGGAAACUGUUUUUCUUGAGUGCAGAAGAGGAGAGUGGAAUUCCAUGUGUAGCGGUGGAAUGCGUAGAUAUAUGGAAGAACAACAGUGGCGAAGGCGACUCUCUGGUCUGCAACUGACGCUGAGGCUCGAAAGCAUGGGUAGCGAACAGG
RNAcentral lists this ribosomal RNA (428 nucleotides) under bacterium. RNAcentral's name for it is "partial 16S ribosomal RNA". It matches the Rfam family "Bacterial small subunit ribosomal RNA", at positions 355 to 776 of the family's 1533-position model. The record is from RNAcentral.